CAACCCGGCUCCGCCUCCUGCGGCUUCCAACAGAUAGCGUCGCGUCCUGAGCCCUCCGUCUCGCUGGGCAGACAGCGGCCCACUGGCCUACGACUCCAGCUUCUGCUGCCGGCCCGAACCCCUGCGGCUUCUUGAGGGACCGAGUGGCACUGGCGCUGCUGGCCGAUGAUGGCCUUGAGAAAUAUCUAGGAAACAGUGGCCCAGAAGAAACGGAUGAUGUGAAACAGAGAAAGUAGAUCAGAGAGAUCACUAAAGCUGUUAGUCAUGGCUACCCACAGGCUGCCUUUCAUCUGAAGAGUUCAAAAAGGCUUUUCUAACCCGGGACUGACUUCUAGAUGGGAAAAUACAUCGCGGUAAGAAAACCGAUCUGACGCUCAGACUGAUAGGUCUACUCGGAGCUGGCACUUAUUUGGAAAUGAAAUCAGUCUUCAUCAUGCAGGGUCCUACUAAGAACUGUGACACUGAGUUUGGCCACUCUCAAAUGACUAUCUUACCCAUUUGCCAUGAAAUUUUCAGGGCUAGAUUUUUUUUUUCUUUAUCCCUGUUGGUGGGAAUUUAAGAGUUUCUUUAUUUAAGUGUUCCAAAUCCUAUGUCUAGGCAUUGCAUGAGAAUAAAUUACUAUGAAAAAAAAUAAAAAAUAAAACAUCAUGAAGAAGAAAAGAGUUCUUAUUUGUGAAUAAACUGUCAAAUUAUAUAACUGAAAAAUGAAGAAAAUAAGAUAGCUGUUCUUCAAUUGUCAUAUUAAUCAACCAACAGAAGUAAAAUUCUUAUA
This is a non-coding RNA of Macaca mulatta (Rhesus monkey), 772 nucleotides long. Lineage: Eukaryota; Metazoa; Chordata; Mammalia; Primates; Cercopithecidae. The record is from RefSeq and is a predicted model, not a curated record.